Molecule: long non-coding RNA, 1135 nt
Organism: Lynx canadensis (Canada lynx)
Lineage: Eukaryota; Metazoa; Chordata; Mammalia; Carnivora; Felidae
Exons: 4
Source: RefSeq, a predicted model, not a curated record
GGGUUUAUCAGAUUUCCUUUCUCCUGUGACCUAGAUACCGGCAGGCGCCUGGUCCCCGGCUCAGAAUCUGUCAGCCUCAAACAUUCAUUGACAACCUACGAUGGCCUGGCACAGAGCUGAGAACCUCCAGGGGUGUCAGAGAUGAACCAGAACAUCUUCCAGGGAGGCCUUCACCUUGGCCCCAUAUUCGAGCUUUCACCUUGACCCCACAUUCAGAGAGCUCUCAAAUGCCUUACGGUGACUUCCAGUCUGGGCUUGCAGUGUGAUUAUAGAAACCCGACGCACAGGUUUGUUGGAAAACAGUGGAGCUGAGGCCCAGAAGUCGCUCACUACGAGAUAGUUGUGCUGCACUGUGGAUUACACUUGUAUUCCCAGCACCCGUGACGGUCACUCACACGCGGUAGUGCGUCUUCAGCCACCGUGUGUCCAGCUGAAUUCAGUUGGCCACAUGCUCCGUACGGCCCUAAAUCAGAGAACACAGUAGAGACCCAGCCGGGCCCUGAGUAACACAGGUUGCAGCCUUCUCCCUGCCCGUGCCCCUCAUCUGAGCACUCCACCCCCCAGCCCUCGCUGAGGACCUCACCCGUGAGUGGAAGGGCAGUGACGCCAGCUACCCCUGAUCUGAAAUGCGCUUGCAAGUUUUGGAGGAGCCUGUGAGGUCAGAAGGAAGAAUCUGCUUCCAGAAGGAAGCAAAGGCCCGGACUGACAAAGCGACAUGCCCAAGGUCACACCAUUCCAGAGGGGAGCAGGAUUCUAGUCCUGAUCUGCUGGGCUCUGAGGGGAGGGCCAGGCCGAGGAUGGUGGGAGAAUUCCAGACUCUGGUCAGCUGCCCCUGCAUUCAGGGAGGCUCUGGGUGGGGUGGAAACAGCCACCAGAAGCCAGGGGCACGCGGCAAACAAGGGUGCCAGGAAAUGAACCGGACCCAGGGUCCUUCCUCCCGGCCCGCCCUGUGCCCCUGGCCAACUGCCACCUCCCUUUGAGGCUUCUCCCUGCAAGAGAACAGAGAAAGCUGGGCCAGAGCCCAGGGAUGGCCCUACACGGGGGAGGGGGGGGGACCAGGAGGGUCUUGAAGCCCAGGAGGAGCCCUGCCAGGCCUAAGCGCCCCCUGUCCUGGGAAGAGAGAGAGAAAUCCCAG